This 75-nucleotide small RNA is filed under the name Xanthomonas citri. RNAcentral's name for it is "sX9 sRNA". It matches the Rfam family "Xanthomonas sRNA sX9". The record is from RNAcentral. RNAcentral also lists the same sequence under 4 other names. Lineage: Bacteria; Pseudomonadati; Pseudomonadota; Gammaproteobacteria; Lysobacterales; Lysobacteraceae.
AUGUACCGCGCGUCACGCCGGCUCCUCCGCGCCGUCCGCACCCACCUGACGACUGCUCGCUACGUUUUGUUAGCC